This 465-nucleotide ribosomal RNA is filed under the name Vreelandella stevensii. Its description in RNAcentral is "partial 16S ribosomal RNA". It matches the Rfam family "Bacterial small subunit ribosomal RNA", at positions 338 to 795 of the family's 1533-position model. The record is from RNAcentral. Lineage: Bacteria; Pseudomonadati; Pseudomonadota; Gammaproteobacteria; Oceanospirillales; Halomonadaceae.
CCUACGGGUGGCAGCAGUGGGGAAUAUUGGACAAUGGGGGCAACCAUGAUCCAGCCAUGCCGCGUGUGUGAAGAAGGCCCUCGGGUUGUAAAGCACUUUCAGUGAGGAAGAACGCCUGGUGGUUAAUACCCAUCAGGAAAGACAUCACUCACAGAAGAAGCACCGGCUAACUCCGUGCCAGCAGCCGCGGUAAUACGGAGGGUGCGAGCGUUAAUCGGAAUUACUGGGCGUAAAGCGCGCGUAGGUGGCUUGAUAAGCCGGUUGUGAAAGCCCCGGGCUCAACCUGGGAACGGCAUCCGGAACUGUCAAGCUAGAGUGCAGGAGAGGAAGGUAGAAUUCCCGGUGUAGCGGCGAAAUGCGUAGAGAUCGGGAGGAAUACCAGUGGCGAAGGCGGCCUUCUGGACUGACACUGACACUGAGGUGCGAAAGCGUGGGUAGCAAACAGGAUUAGAUACCCUUGUAGUC